UUUCCCGCCCCCUUUUUCAAGGACCACAAUCACCAAUAUAAAAAUAAUAGCAGUGUUUUCAACCCAUUGAACUUUGCUGCAACCAAGAAUAGGCCAUUGGUGACUAUACCGGCAGGGAGAAUCUACGAUGAGCCAGAAAAACGUGUUUGGAUCAAAUCUCAUGCCUUGCUCGACAACCCCAAUGACCGGUUGGUAUAGAGAUGGAUAUUGCCGCACAGACACACAAGACCAUGGCCUACACACUGUUUGUGCAACAAUGACAAGGGAGUUUUUAGAAUAUACUAAAUCUUUGGGUAAUGAUCUAUCAACACCAAAUCAAUACUUUCCAGGGCUGAAACCAGGGGACAGUUGGUGUUUAUGCUCAACAAGGUGGGAACAGGCAAGGAGGGCAGGAAAAGCCCCCAAGGUCAAGCUAGAAGCAACCAAUGAAGUUGCACUUCGAUCAGGAAUUUCAGUUGAGACUUUGCAGCUUCAUGCAGCACCAAAUGAUAACCAGGCUUCUGAUGGUGAAGAAAGAAGGAACAGUUGUAGCUCUGAUGGUGAGAUCUGUGAACGCUGAUGAGAUUACUAGCAGCCUUGUAGUGUAUUCUGUGCUAGUUCACUAGUCCAAGGAUUUUAUCAAAUUCUUAGUCAUUAAUUAAUGUUGCAGACUGUUAACGUAUAAGGAGUAAGUAAUUUUGAAGCAGCAAUUAGUUUUAUCAAA
Rhopilema esculentum is the source of this 703-nucleotide non-coding RNA. NCBI's taxonomy places the organism in Eukaryota, Metazoa, Cnidaria, Scyphozoa, Rhizostomeae, Rhizostomatidae. The record is from RefSeq and is a predicted model, not a curated record.